Molecule: long non-coding RNA, 297 nt
Filed under: Vigna radiata
Lineage: Eukaryota; Viridiplantae; Streptophyta; Magnoliopsida; Fabales; Fabaceae
Description: long non-coding RNA (VRAD_LNC008234)
Source: RNAcentral
GGUGAGCGACAGAUUUAGUUUUUGCUUAUUUUUUUGAUGGAGGUGGUGCUAAGGGGCCCUAUUUUCCCCUCAGCGCUGGACAAUGCUGGAAAAAUAUGCUUUUGAUGGUUUGCUAACUCUUCAUGGUGAAUUUUGUGGUUUUUUUAUUUAUUCUCAAUUGGGGAAUUCAUGUAAUCCUUUGAAACUAUCAUAUAUUGAAUUGAUGCUUUAUUCAUAUGCUUUUAUUCAUUAUUUGUUAGGGUCUUCUGUAACACCCCUAACAGAGUGCCACUUAUAAAUAACCAAAUCCGAAAAUUU